Non-coding RNA from Prunus avium (sweet cherry), 730 nucleotides. The record is from RefSeq and is a predicted model, not a curated record. NCBI's taxonomy places the organism in Eukaryota, Viridiplantae, Streptophyta, Magnoliopsida, Rosales, Rosaceae.
AUUUCCAACUUCUGCAAACAUGGGGAUUGAACAGGACCAAAGUCAUACUAAUUUACAAACCCCACCUCUCUCUCUCUCUCUCUCUCUCUCUCUCUCUCUCUCUCUCUCCCUCUCUCAUGUAAGUGUGGAUGGAAGCACAUAUUUCAUGCAAGUCCUUAUCUAUGCAUUUUAAAGAUUGCAAAACUAAUGGAUUAAGCUGGCUCUAACAUUCAUUUUCUGUGGUACGUUAUAGAGGGAAAGAAUGGAUACAUUUUGGUCACUGCAAACGGUGGAAUGAACCAGCAGCGAGUAGCUGUUUGCAAUGCUGUCACUGUUGCACGAUUACUCAAUUCAACCCUGGUUGUUCCCAAAUUUUUGUAUAGCAGUAUAUGGAGAGAUGUGAGGUGACCUAUUUCUUCCUUCUUCUUUUUUUCCACUCAAGAAUUUUUCUUUGUUUCUUGUGCGUAUGGUUUAUGUCAGUUUUGUAAUAAGAGAAAGCUGCAUUUAACUUCUGGAUUCAAAACUUGAAUGGGUUGGAGGGUUGUUGGGGUUGAUUCUAAUAAUUGCUUCAUUAUUCAUAUUCAUAUUCAUAUUGACCAUGGUUAGAAUAAUAAUAUUCAUUUGUGCGUUCUUCAAAUAAUUAAUUGCUUUUCCUGGUCUGCUGGGUAUGAAAUGAAAGUUUCUAGCUCCAAAUGCUUUCAUGUGCCCCAGUUAUUUGGGAUAUCUCCAUUAUAAUUUUACUUUAGGUUUU